AUGCAAUUAUCUUUAGGGACGUCUCUUAAUCAAGAGACAGAAGAGACGCCUCUUGUAGACAGACGUCACUUUCUCUUGCUUCCUGUUGAAUCUCUCGUCCCCUUCCCAGAAUCAGAUGAAUCUGUCUCCUCUCUUCCUCACUUUUGAUUGAUAAUACUCAUGAGUGGAAGUUCAAGCAGGGAGGCCCUUUGUGGCAUUGUAGGUUUCAAUUGAAUCAAUACUCUCUCUGAUGCUUUCCUUGAAUCAAUAGAGAGGAGGAGGGAAGGAUAAUGGAAUCGAAACCCAGUGGACCAGUGGCGUUAACAGCGGAGGAAGAAGCCGUUUCCUUGAAUCAGUCUCUCUCUCUCUCUCUAUCUGAAACCAUUAAGCAUGCCAUCAGAUCCCAGAAUCGUGUCAUUGUUGAAGGAAAUAAUCUGGUUUGUAUUGGAGACUUUGAUUGAUUCCUACUUCUACAACACUUGGUCCCUCAUUUGUCGGCUGCGAGAGGUGGGCGGAUACUUCUUCAUCUCGUGAAGAACACUCCUAACAUAGACAAACGCUCGCUUCAAGAUCUGCUCUUCUUUCUCCAUGUUCCUCGAACUGGAGGCAGGACUUCUUUUCACUGUUUCUUGAGGAAGUUUCCUGAGUUUGCUGAGUUUCUGAUGCAGCAACGGCAGUGGCGUAUUGGAAUUACUUCAUACGGCUAGAGAUGAAGCUGAGUAUGUUGUGUUGCGCUGUAUCACAUGGUUUUUUCUCACAGUGGUUGCAAACUCAAAGAGGGAUUGUCUGGUUGAUCUUGCUUUCUUGUUGUCACUUCAGAACGAGCUGUGGAGUGAGAACCAUUUGGUUGUGCAACUGAUUCUACUCUUUUGGUACCCUGCAAGUGUUGAAGAGGAAGAUUAUUUUGCUGUGUGGCAUUGCUGGAAAUACAGAGAGUUACAAGCAGCACGUUGUGGCAGUAUUCAGGGCCAGUGUGCCUAUGAACAGAGAGGAUUAAAAGGCUGGUUUCUGUGUACAUGUUCCUCAUUUACGCAUCUCCUAUAGAAGAUUACUUUGAGAUAACAAUGUUUUUUUUUUAAGAACUUCAAAAUAAGAGACUACCAUUGGAGACCCAAAAUCAAUAAGUUCUUAACUAAA
Long non-coding RNA from Brassica napus (rape), 1116 nucleotides. RefSeq lists it as uncharacterized. NCBI's taxonomy places the organism in Eukaryota, Viridiplantae, Streptophyta, Magnoliopsida, Brassicales, Brassicaceae. The record is from RefSeq and is a predicted model, not a curated record. The transcript is spliced from 3 exons.